UGUGAACAAAGGCAAAGCCGUCGAAAGACGGCGACGCAAAGUCACCGGCCUAAAGGGCUAGAAGACCCAAAGGUAGCGGGACUGCUCGA
RNAcentral lists this non-coding RNA (89 nucleotides) under Myxococcales bacterium. Its description in RNAcentral is "c-di-GMP sequence". It matches the Rfam family "c-di-GMP-I riboswitch aptamer". Rfam says of the family: GEMM was predicted in a large-scale screen for bacterial structured RNA regulatory elements. Genes associated with GEMM are involved in a diverse array of functions, including chemotaxis regulation, signal transduction, secretion and chitin. Lineage: Bacteria; Pseudomonadati; Myxococcota; Myxococcia; Myxococcales. The record is from RNAcentral.